Molecule: transfer RNA, 37 nt
Filed under: Gentiana pneumonanthe
Lineage: Eukaryota; Viridiplantae; Streptophyta; Magnoliopsida; Gentianales; Gentianaceae
Description: partial tRNA-Leu
Source: RNAcentral
GGUUCAAGUCCCUCUAUCCCCAAAAAGCCUAUUUUUC